This 243-nucleotide ribosomal RNA is filed under the name uncultured bacterium. Its description in RNAcentral is "partial 16S ribosomal RNA". It matches the Rfam family "Bacterial small subunit ribosomal RNA", at positions 1257 to 1500 of the family's 1533-position model. The record is from RNAcentral.
GCGAGGCAGAGCGAACCCCCAAAAGCCGUCCCAGUUCGGAUCGCAGGCUGCAACCCGCCUGCGUGAAGUCGGAAUCGCUAGUAAUCGCGGAUCAGCAUGCCGCGGUGAAUACGUUCCCGGGCCUUGUACACACCGCCCGUCACACCAUGAGAGUCGGGAACACCCGAAGUCCGUAGCCUAACCGAAAGGAGGGCGCGGCCGAAGGUGGGUUCGAUAAUUGGGGUGAAGUCGUAACAAGGUAGC